Long non-coding RNA from Odocoileus virginianus texanus, 990 nucleotides. RefSeq lists it as uncharacterized. Lineage: Eukaryota; Metazoa; Chordata; Mammalia; Artiodactyla; Cervidae. The record is from RefSeq and is a predicted model, not a curated record.
CCUAAUCUAGGCUGCCUGUCAUGGCCUUACCCGUGACAGCCUCAUAGUAAUAGGUUCUGCUGAUACAGCAGAAAAUCUUGAAAGUUGAUCAAGAAGCAGAUGAUGAAGGAACAUGUUAAGGAAUUUCACACUUAUCGUCCGGAGAAAAUGAUGAGUAUGCGCAGUGUCCUGGGUAUUCUGACAAGUUCCAGAUCGCUGGGCCCCCAGAGGCUAAACUGAGAUAAUAGUCUCCUUUAUAUGCAUAUGACUUAUCUACCACCUUUUGAUAUGCAGAUGUCUCAGCUCCGAUCAAGACGAAGUAACCUUGGUACUGAAGGAUGAAGGUCGAGUUUCCUUUCAUAAGAAAAUGUGAAACAAAGACUUUUUCACAGAAGUCAAAGAAGAGAAUUCAUUACCAGCGCCUGAACUACAAGAAAUAACAAAGUUUAUCAAAUAGAAGAAAUAUACCUGAAAGAAAUUUGUAUAGGCACGCAAAACAAAGAUGACAGACUAUAAACACGCUUAAAGUGAAGGCAAAUGUAAAAGACUUCAAAAUUAUUUUUAAUCAAUUUAAAAAAUAAUCAUCUAAUGGAAAAAUAAUAAGUCAUUAUGAGUAUGUAUACUAUAUAACGAUAAAACCCUUGACGGCAAUGGCACAGGAGACAGGAAGAAGCAAUAAUUUGGUAAGUGCAGCAUUAUCAGAGAAUUCAAUAUAAAACUACAUUUUUUUCUUCUUGUUCAUAUACUUUCAGAAAUAUUUUCCUGAUAGAAUGCAUAAAUUAUAACUUUUUAUGACAAAUCUGUGAAAUUGUUUUGCUGUAAAUAUCUCUUUCUGGAUUGACUUUGUUGUGCUGGAUCUGGCUUAAGUUUUUAUUCUAGGAAGCUUUUCACAGUAACUCUUCCAGGUGAGGGAACCUCUGCCUGCCCUGAAAAGUGAGGCUAGGUUGCUUUGGCAACCAAAGGAGGCUCAAUGAAUGCUGUGCUUCUUGCAUUUGGAGUCUCCAAAUCUUC